AUCUGAUCUCAAAUCAGGUAGGACUACCCGCUGAACUUAAGCAUAUCANUAA
RNAcentral lists this ribosomal RNA (52 nucleotides) under Thanatephorus sp. RNAcentral describes it as "partial 28S ribosomal RNA". Lineage: Eukaryota; Fungi; Basidiomycota; Agaricomycetes; Cantharellales; Ceratobasidiaceae. The record is from RNAcentral.